CGACGGUAACAGGAAGAAGCUUGCUUCUUUGCUGACGAGUGGCGGACGGGUGAGUAAUGUCUGGGAAACUGCCUGAUGGAGGGGGAUAACUACUGGAAACGGUAGCUAAUACCGCAUAACGUCGCAAGACCAAAGAGGGGGACCUUCGGGCCUCUUGCCAUCGGAUGUGCCCAGAUGGGAUUAGCUAGUAGGUGGGGUAACGGCUCACCUAGGCGACGAUCCCUAGCUGGUCUGAGAGGAUGACCAGCCACACUGGAACUGAGACACGGUCCAGACUCCUACGGGAGGCAGCAGUGGGGAAUAUUGCACAAUGGGCGCAAGCCUGAUGCAGCCAUGCCGCGUGUAUGAAGAAGGCCUUCGGGUUGUAAAGUACUUUCAGCGGGGAGGAAGGGAGUAAAGUUAAUACCUUUGCUCAUUGACGUUACCCGCAGAAGAAGCACCGGCUAACUCCGUGCCAGCAGCCGCGGUAAUACGGAGGGUGCAAGCGUUAAUCGGAAUUACUGGGCGUAAAGCGCACGCAGGCGGUUUGUUAAGUCAGAUGUGAAAUCCCCGGGCUCAACCUGGGAACUGCAUCUGAUACUGGCAAGCUUGAGUCUCGUAGAGGGGGGUAGAAUUCCAGGUGUAGCGGUGAAAUGCGUAGAGAUCUGGAGGAAUACCGGUGGCGAAGGCGGCCCCCUGGACGAAGACU
Molecule: ribosomal RNA, 688 nt
Filed under: uncultured bacterium
Lineage: Bacteria
Description: bacterial SSU rRNA
Rfam family: Bacterial small subunit ribosomal RNA
Source: RNAcentral